RNAcentral lists this transfer RNA (81 nucleotides) under Perkinsus marinus ATCC 50983. It matches the Rfam family "tRNA". Rfam says of the family: Transfer RNA (tRNA) molecules are approximately 80 nucleotides in length. Their secondary structure includes four short double-helical elements and three loops (D, anti-codon, and T loops). Lineage: Eukaryota; Perkinsozoa; Perkinsida; Perkinsidae. The record is from Rfam by way of RNAcentral.
GACAGUUUGGCCGAGCGGUCUAAGGCGCCAGCUUCAGGCGCUGGUCCGAAAAGAGCGCGGGUUCGAAUCCCGCAGCUGUUA